UAUUGUUAUUUGUCAUAUUGACAAACCAAAAAUAUUUAUAGAAUGAACAUUUGUAUCCUUGCUUAUCAGUAAAACAGCUUAAAUAAUUCAUACUUCAUUCAUAUGUACAAAGCGAUGAGAAAUUUGUAUUUGUUGAUUGGGGUGGGUUUUUACACUUUUACGUUUAAUUUUCAACUUUCCACAUUUUCCUAAGAAAAAAAUAUAGCAGCAUGACAAGUCAAGAAAGAAUCACUCAAUCUAUUAGAAAUUCUGGCACAUCAUCUUACUACUCUAGAAGAACCGCUCCAGGUCCUCACGAAUCUCGAUGGAGGCGAUUUAAAAAUUAUUUGUAUGACAAAGAGACUAAAUAUGUAUGUGGCAGAUCGGGAAUUAGUUGGGGUACUAAAAAUUAAGUAGCCUUUGUUUAUACUUAUUUCAAAAUAUUCGGUUUUUGUAAAAAAAUUUCUUCUUAUAGUGAAAAUUAUUGGCUAUUAUGUAUUAUUUAUCACAGGAGUGUCUUGUUUAUUUUCAUUCAUAUUAGGAAUUACUCUGUACAUGAUUGAAAGAUCUCCAGUACCCCUUAUGCCAAAAACCAAGUAUUUAAUGGAAAAUCCACCUGGAUUUACUUUUCUUCCUAACAAAUAUCCUGAAAUGCCCCUUAUAUGGUAUUAUAAUGGUAUUGAAAGUAGUGUUCAUUCGAAAACAGUUAACGAUUUUUUUGAAGUCUAUGACGAUGCAGUCUCAAAAAAUGCAGACAAUUAUGUGGAUUGUGAAAAAGAAAACCCUAAAGAUCACAAUAAGAGUUGCAUCUUUAGAAGAGAUGCUUUAGGUCCAUGUGCUCAACCAACUUAUGGUUCAAAGUCACCCUGUAUUUAUUUAAAACUAAACAAACAUCCGGGUUGGGUACCAAAAUAUUAUGGUGCUUUACCUGAUAAAAUGCCAGAAGAACUUAAAAAACUAAUAAAGGCUUCCACAAACAGAAAGAAAAUAUGGGUUUACUGUCACCCUAAUAAACCAGCUGAUGAAGAUCAUUUAGGGAAUAUCAGUUACUAUCCCAAUCAAGAAAUUCAAGAAUACUACUUCCCUUUUAAUUUUCAAAAAUAUUAUUUAAGUCCUGUAGUAGCAGUUCAAAUAAAUGAUGUUGAGCCGGGUUAUCUAAGUGUUGUAAGGUGUUCAGUGUGGGCUGAUAACAUUGCACCUAAAUUCCAAUCUGUUUUGAUUUCAUUUUAUAUCGGAUCCCCAAAAUAAUCAGUGUCAAGUAAAGAUAAUAGUAAAUAACGUAUUUGAAGUACAAAAAAAAAAACAAAAUGUAUUUUACCUUACGCUUUCGGCGGCGAUUACAGAGGUAUCACUACUCGUUCUGGAUGAGAUUUUCUUUUCAAAUUCUCUGAACUCUUUGGCUAUUUUAGU
Molecule: RNA transcript, 1389 nt
Organism: Agrilus planipennis (emerald ash borer)
Lineage: Eukaryota; Metazoa; Arthropoda; Insecta; Coleoptera; Buprestidae
Gene name: sodium/potassium-transporting ATPase subunit beta-like
Exons: 8
Source: RefSeq, a predicted model, not a curated record